UACGUAGGGGGCAAGCGUUGUCCGGAUUUAUUGGGCGUAAAAGGCUUGUAGGUGGCCACGCCAAGUCGGAUGUGAAAUCUCCCGGCUCAACUGGGAGGGGUCAUUCGAUACUGGCGGGCUCGAGGCCGGUAGGGGGAAGUGGAAUUCCCGGUGUAGUGGUGGAAUGCGUAGAUAUCGGGAGGAACACCAGUGGCGAAGGCGGCUUCCUGGACCGGUUCUGACACUGAGGAGCGAAAGCGUGGGGAGCGAUCCGG
Molecule: ribosomal RNA, 254 nt
Filed under: uncultured bacterium
Lineage: Bacteria
Description: partial 16S ribosomal RNA
Rfam family: Bacterial small subunit ribosomal RNA
Source: RNAcentral